Molecule: ribosomal RNA, 241 nt
Filed under: uncultured bacterium
Lineage: Bacteria
Description: partial 16S ribosomal RNA
Rfam family: Bacterial small subunit ribosomal RNA
Source: RNAcentral
UACGUAGGCAGCAAGCGUUGUUCGGAGUUACUGGGCGUAAAGGGUGCGUAGGCGGUCCUAUAAGUAUGGUGUGAAAUCUCCCGGCUUAACUGGGAGGGUGCGCUAUAGACUGUGGGACUAGAGUGUGGGAGAGGAAAGUGGAAUUCCUGGUGUAGCAGUGAAAUGCGUAGAUAUCAGGAGGAAUACGAUGGCGAAGGCAGGUCUCUGGGCUGACACUGACGCUCAUGCACGAAAGCGUGGG